RNAcentral lists this ribosomal RNA (833 nucleotides) under Raffaelea sp. RNAcentral's name for it is "eukaryotic LSU rRNA". It matches the Rfam family "Eukaryotic large subunit ribosomal RNA", at positions 76 to 929 of the family's 3401-position model. The record is from RNAcentral. Lineage: Eukaryota; Fungi; Ascomycota; Sordariomycetes; Ophiostomatales; Ophiostomataceae.
UGCCUCAGUAACGGCGAGUGAAGCGGCAAAAGCUCAAAUUUGAAAUCUGGCCCCCCCCGCGGGGGUCCGAUUUAAUUUGCGAGGAUGCUUUGGGCGCGGCGCCUUCCGAGUGCCUUGGAACAGGCCCUGAGAGGGUGAGAGCCCCGUACGGUUGGACGCCUAGCCCGUGUAAAGCUCCUUCAACGAGUCGAGUAGUUUGGGAAUGCUGCUCAAAAUGGGAGGUAAAUUCCUUCUAAAGCUAAAUACUGGCCAGAGACCGAUAGCGCACAAGUAGAGUGAUCGAAAGGUGAAAAGCACUUUGAAAAGAGAGUCAAAUAGCACGUGAAAUUGUUAAAAGGGAAGCGUCUGCGACCAGACGCGCCGCCCGCGGCUCACCCGGCGCCUCGGCGCCGGGGCACGCCGCGGGCGUCGGGCCAGCAUCGGCUCUGCCGUGGGUACAAGGACCGCGGGAACGUAGCUCCCUCGUGGAGUGUUAUAGCCCGCGGCGCCAUGCCCGCGGCGGGGCCGAGGACCGCGCCCGCAAGGGCAAGGAUGCUGGCGUAAUGGCCGCCGGCGACCCGUCUUGAAACACGGACCAAGGAGUCAAGCAGUGGGGCGAGUGUACGGGUGCCAAACCCGCGCGCGAAAUGAAAGUAAACGCAGGUGGGAGCCUCCGGGCGCACCACCGACCGAUCCUGAAGUUUUCGGAUGGAUUUGAGUAGGAGCCCUACUGCUUGGACCCGAAAGAUGGUGAACUAUGCCUGUAUAGGGUGAAGCCAGAGGAAACUCUGGUGGAGGCUCGCAGCGGUUCUGACGUGCAAAUCGAUCGUCAAAUAUGGGCAUGGGGGCGAAAG